UGGACCUCAGAUCAGGCAAGAUCACCCGCUGAGUUUAAGCAUAUCACUAAGCGGAGAAAAAGAAACUAACGAGGAUUUCCCUAGUAACGGCGAGCGAACCGGAAGUAGCCCAGCUU
Molecule: ribosomal RNA, 116 nt
Filed under: Frullania multilacera
Lineage: Eukaryota; Viridiplantae; Streptophyta; Jungermanniopsida; Porellales; Frullaniaceae
Description: partial 26S ribosomal RNA
Rfam family: Eukaryotic large subunit ribosomal RNA
Source: RNAcentral